AGUGAACGCUGGCGGUAGGCCUAACACAUGCAAGUCGAACGGCAGCACAGUAAUAGCUUGCUCUUACGGGUGGCGAGUGGCGGACGGGUGAGGAAUACAUCGGAAUCUACUUUUUCGUGGGGGAUAACGUAGGGAAACUUACGCUAAUACCGCAUACGACCUACGGGUGAAAGCAUGGGAUCUUCGGACCUUGCGCGAUUGAAUGAGCCGAUGUCGGAUUAGCUAGUUGGCGGGGUAAAGGCCCACCAAGGCGACGAUCCGUAGCUGGUCUGAGAGGAUGAUCAGCCACACUGGAACUGAGACACGGUCCAGACUCCUACGGGAGGCAGCAGUGGGGAAUAUUGGACAAUGGGCGCAAGCCUGAUCCAGCCAUACCGCGUGGGUGAAGAAGGCCUUCGGGUUGUAAAGCCCUUUUGUUGGGAAAGAAAAGCAGCAGGUUAAUACCCCGCUGUUCUGACGGUACCAAAAGAAUAAGCACCGGCUAACUUCGUG
RNAcentral lists this ribosomal RNA (492 nucleotides) under uncultured bacterium. RNAcentral describes it as "partial 16S ribosomal RNA". It matches the Rfam family "Bacterial small subunit ribosomal RNA", at positions 29 to 507 of the family's 1533-position model. The record is from RNAcentral.